This 253-nucleotide ribosomal RNA is filed under the name uncultured bacterium. RNAcentral's name for it is "partial 16S ribosomal RNA". It matches the Rfam family "Bacterial small subunit ribosomal RNA", at positions 524 to 776 of the family's 1533-position model. The record is from RNAcentral.
UACGUAGGGCGCAAGCGUUGUCCGGAAUUAUUGGGCGUAAAGAGCUCGUAGGCGGCUUGUCACGUCGGGUGUGAAAGCCCGGGGCUUAACCCCGGGUCUGCAUUCGAUACGGGCUAGCUAGAGUGUGGUAGGGGAGAUCGGAAUUCCUGGUGUAGCGGUGAAAUGCGCAGAUAUCGGGAGGAACACCGGUGGCGAAGGCGGUUCUCUGGGCCUGUACUGACGCUGAGGAGCGAAAGCGUGGGGAGCGAACAGG